This 68-nucleotide transfer RNA is filed under the name Hylomyscus denniae (montane wood mouse). RNAcentral's name for it is "tRNA-Thr". Lineage: Eukaryota; Metazoa; Chordata; Mammalia; Rodentia; Muridae. The record is from RNAcentral.
AAUUCUCUUCUUAAGACAUCAAGAAGAAGGAAAAUCUCCCCACCAUCAGCACCCAAAGCUGAUAUUCU